UGGAGAGUUUGAUCCUGGCUCAGGACGAACGCUGGCGGCGUGCCUAAUACAUGCAAGUCGAGCGAGGGUCUUCGGACCCUAGCGGCGGACGGGUGAGUAACACGUAGGCAACCUGCCUGUAAGACUGGGAUAACAUAGGGAAACUUAUGCUAAUACCGGAUAGGGUUUUGCUUCGCCUGAAGCGAAACGGAAAGAUGGCGCAAGCUAUCACUUACAGAUGGGCCUGCGGCGCAUUAGCUAGUUGGUGAGGUAAUGGCUCACCAAGGC
This 267-nucleotide ribosomal RNA is filed under the name Brevibacillus laterosporus. Its description in RNAcentral is "partial 16S ribosomal RNA". It matches the Rfam family "Bacterial small subunit ribosomal RNA", at positions 1 to 274 of the family's 1533-position model. The record is from RNAcentral. Lineage: Bacteria; Bacillati; Bacillota; Bacilli; Caryophanales; Paenibacillaceae.